This 450-nucleotide long non-coding RNA is filed under the name Anas platyrhynchos platyrhynchos (common mallard). RNAcentral's name for it is "lncRNA (ENSAPLG00000023513.1)". The record is from RNAcentral. Lineage: Eukaryota; Metazoa; Chordata; Aves; Anseriformes; Anatidae.
GACGUGUCAGCAUUGCUUCCUGAGAAGCUAACCCUGGCCAGCUCUGCCUACAAACAGGAGACUGUUGAGUUUCUUUUGCAUUUAGCAAGUGUUGGAUUUUUCUAAUGUAUGCAGUCAAAAACAUUUUCCUUUCAAAAUGUGAUGAUACUACAAGUGAGGAGAAAAUAAUUGUACAGUGGGAUUGGGAAGAAUCCUGUUGUAAAACAUCUUAUCAGCUUUCAGGAGACAAUUUAGUAAAGGCUGCUGUGAUGCAAAACUGGAUCCCUAGCAUCAUAAGGCGGUUCUCUGGACUAUCACUAAAAGUAAAAUUAGAAAAUUACAAAAAGUAGAAGAAAAAUACCCAACUGCUUCUAAAUUCAAGGACGAUCUACUUGAACUUCUUGUUCCAGGAGUUUCAGCAAGAAACAUGACAGAAAUAAAGAGAUCACAGACCAAGAAAAACCUAGAGAA